This 501-nucleotide ribosomal RNA is filed under the name Delftia sp. WH039. RNAcentral describes it as "bacterial SSU rRNA". It matches the Rfam family "Bacterial small subunit ribosomal RNA", at positions 112 to 609 of the family's 1533-position model. The record is from RNAcentral. Lineage: Bacteria; Pseudomonadati; Pseudomonadota; Betaproteobacteria; Burkholderiales; Comamonadaceae.
AAUACAUCGGAACGUGCCCAGUCGUGGGGGAUAACUACUCGAAAGAGUAGCUAAUACCGCAUACGAUCUGAGGAUGAAAGCGGGGGACCUUCGGGCCUCGCGCGAUUGGAGCGGCCGAUGGCAGAUUAGGUAGUUGGUGGGAUAAAAGCUUACCAAGCCGACGAUCUGUAGCUGGUCUGAGAGGACGACCAGCCACACUGGGACUGAGACACGGCCCAGACUCCUACGGGAGGCAGCAGUGGGGAAUUUUGGACAAUGGGCGAAAGCCUGAUCCAGCAAUGCCGCGUGCAGGAUGAAGGCCUUCGGGUUGUAAACUGCUUUUGUACGGAACGAAAAAGCUCCUUCUAAUACAGGGGGCCCAUGACGGUACCGUAAGAAUAAGCACCGGCUAACUACGUGCCAGCAGCCGCGGUAAUACGUAGGGUGCGAGCGUUAAUCGGAAUUACUGGGCGUAAAGCGUGCGCAGGCGGUUAUGUAAGACAGAUGUGAAAUCCCCGGGCU